AUUGAACGCUGGCGGCAGGCCUAACACAUGCAAGUCGAACGAGUGGCGGACGGGUGAGUAAUGUCUGGGAAACUGCCUGAUGGAGGGGGAUAACUACUGGAAACGGUAGCUAAUACCGCAUACCAUCAGAUGUGCCCAGAUGGGAUUAGCUAGGUGGUGGGGUCAAGGCUCACCAAGGCGACGAUCCCUAGCUGGGCUGAGAGGAUGACCAGCCACACGGGAACUGAGGAAAGGUCCAGAACCCUACGGGAGGAAGCAGUGGGGAAUAUUGCACAAUGGGCGCAAGCCUGAUGCAGCCAUGCCGCGUGUAGGAAGAAGGCCUUCGGGUUGUAAAGUACUUUUAGCGGGGAGGCGUUACCCGCAGAAGAAGCACCGGCUAACUCCGUGCCAGCAGCCGCGGUAAUUC
RNAcentral lists this ribosomal RNA (406 nucleotides) under uncultured bacterium. Its description in RNAcentral is "partial 16S ribosomal RNA". It matches the Rfam family "Bacterial small subunit ribosomal RNA", at positions 29 to 526 of the family's 1533-position model. The record is from RNAcentral.